CCGCACCGGAGGGUUUUCCAACCACCAAACGAGGUAAAUUUUUUCUCCUUGGCUUGUUUUUCGAUGUUGAAUCCGCCCAUGGCCAAAUCGGAGCCAAACUACCGGCCAAUCAGCUGGAAAAUACCGCCGAAGUCCAGCGGCGCUGCCGCAGCUUCUCUCAGUUUUUGCCUCCGAUGAGGCUCUUUCCGGUUUCCGAUCGAUGCAAUUUUUACACUACUGUGAUCACUGUCCUUUUCUCUACAGGUUGAUCGGAGUAAAACAUCAAACCGCGACUCGCGCCAGAGAAGCCGCCGCACCCGAGAGCACCGCCGCCGGUAAGUCUCGAUUUUUUGUGAU
This 336-nucleotide long non-coding RNA is filed under the name Carica papaya (papaya). RNAcentral describes it as "long non-coding RNA (CPAP_LNC009717)". Lineage: Eukaryota; Viridiplantae; Streptophyta; Magnoliopsida; Brassicales; Caricaceae. The record is from RNAcentral.